This is a long non-coding RNA of Zingiber officinale, 181 nucleotides long. RefSeq lists it as uncharacterized. NCBI's taxonomy places the organism in Eukaryota, Viridiplantae, Streptophyta, Magnoliopsida, Zingiberales, Zingiberaceae. The record is from RefSeq and is a predicted model, not a curated record. The transcript is spliced from 3 exons.
GAAGAGAGAUUAUGACCUUUUUGGCAUUGAUGAACACUCUGAAUCCUUUCUUGUUGGAGAAUUUCAAGUUUUAGUUACUAGUAUGAUCGAACUCCCAAUUAUUAAUUCAUCUUCACUUGGUAUGUUCAUUGUUCUACUGAUGCAAAAAUGUCAGCAUGUGCAUAUGAGGUAUGCUGAGUGA